GGCGCUGUGGCGGAGUGGUCUAACGCGUUAGACUGUGAGUAUCUCUCAACAACAUCUGUUCCCACCUUCAUACUAACUCGGUUUCCUCAGCGAAAUCUAAUUCCUUCGGGAGCAUCGGUUCGAAUCCGAUCGGCGUCG
The sequence is a transfer RNA, 138 nucleotides long. It matches the Rfam family "tRNA". Rfam says of the family: Transfer RNA (tRNA) molecules are approximately 80 nucleotides in length. Their secondary structure includes four short double-helical elements and three loops (D, anti-codon, and T loops). The record is from Rfam.